RNAcentral lists this ribosomal RNA (253 nucleotides) under uncultured bacterium. Its description in RNAcentral is "partial 16S ribosomal RNA". It matches the Rfam family "Bacterial small subunit ribosomal RNA", at positions 524 to 776 of the family's 1533-position model. The record is from RNAcentral.
UACAGAGGGUGCGAGCGUUGUCCGGAAUCACUGGGCGUAAAGGGCGCGUAGGUGGCGAGCCAAGUCCAUGGUGAAAGCUCGAUGCUCAGCAUCGAGUCGGCCACGGAUACUGGUGCGCUUGAGCACUGUAGAGGCUAAUGGAAUUCCGGGUGUAGCGGUGGAAUGCGUAGAGAUCCGGAAGAACACCGGUGGCGAAGGCGGUUAGCUGGGCAGUUGCUGACACUGAGGCGCGACAGCGUGGGGAGCAAACAGG